AAGUCGUAACAAGGUCUCCGUAGGUGAACCUGCGGAGGGAUCAUUACUGAGUGAGGGCUCACGCCCGACCUCCAACCCUUUGUGAACGUAACUUGUUGCUUCGGGGGCGACCCUGCCGUCAUCUGGCGACGGGCGCCCCCGGAGGCCUUCUAACACUGCAUCUCUGCGUCGGAGUAAAAGUUAAUUAAACAAAACUUUCAACAACGGAUCUCUUGGUUCUG
Molecule: unclassified non-coding RNA, 221 nt
Filed under: fungal sp.
Lineage: Eukaryota; Fungi
Description: partial internal transcribed spacer region
Rfam family: Eukaryotic small subunit ribosomal RNA (bases 1-46)
Source: RNAcentral